Molecule: ribosomal RNA, 463 nt
Filed under: uncultured bacterium
Lineage: Bacteria
Description: partial 16S ribosomal RNA
Rfam family: Bacterial small subunit ribosomal RNA
Source: RNAcentral
GAUGAACGCUGACAGAAUGCUUAACACAUGCAAGUCGAUGGGGAAGUGGUGCUUGCACCCUGGCAACCAUGGCGGACGGGUGAGUAACGCGUAAGGGACUUACCUGCAGGACUGGGAUAACAGGGGGUAACUCCUGACAAGACCGGAUAAUGUCAUGGAGCUGCAUGGCUUUAUGAUGAAAGGAGACGCCUGCGGAGAGCCUUGCGUCCUAUUAGCUAGUUGGUGAGGUAAUGGCUCACCAAGGCGAAGAUAGGUAGCCGGCCUGAGAGGGUGGACGGCCACAAGGGGACUGAGAUACGGCCCUUACUCCUACGGGAGGCAGCAGUGGGGAAUAUUGGACAAUGGGGGCAACCCUGAUCCAGCAAUUCUGUGUGCACGAAGAAGGUUUUCGGAUUGUAAAGUGCUUUCAGCAGGGAAGAAGUAAGUGACGGUACCUGCGGAAGAAGCGACGGCUAAAUACGUG